RNAcentral lists this ribosomal RNA (252 nucleotides) under uncultured bacterium. Its description in RNAcentral is "partial 16S ribosomal RNA". It matches the Rfam family "Bacterial small subunit ribosomal RNA", at positions 524 to 776 of the family's 1533-position model. The record is from RNAcentral.
UACGGAGGAUGCGAGCGUUAUCCGGAUUUAUUGGGUUUAAAGGGUGCGUAGGCGGGCAUUUAAGUCAGCGGUAAAAAUUCGGGGCUCAACCCCGUCCGGCCGUUGAAACUGGGGGCCUUGAGUGGGCGAGAAGAAGGCGGAAUGCGUGGUGUAGCGGUGAAAUGCAUAGAUAUCACGCAGAACCCCGAUUGCGAAGGCAGCCUUCCGGCGCCCUACUGACGCUGAGGCACGAAAGUGCGGGGAUCGAACAGG